UACGAAGGGGGCUAGCGUUGCUCGGAAUCACUGGGCGUAAAGCGCACGUAGGCGGGUCGCUAAGUCGGGGGUGAAAUCCUGGAGCUCAACUCCAGAACUGCCUUUGAUACUGAAGAUCUUGAGUUCGGGAGAGGUGAGUGGAACUGCGAGUGUAGAGGUGAAAUUCGUAGAUAUUCGCAAGAACACCAGUGGCGAAGGCGGCUCACUGGCCCGAUACUGACGCUGAGGCACGAAAGCGUGGGGAGCAAACAGG
Molecule: ribosomal RNA, 253 nt
Filed under: uncultured bacterium
Lineage: Bacteria
Description: partial 16S ribosomal RNA
Rfam family: Bacterial small subunit ribosomal RNA
Source: RNAcentral